CCUACGGGAGACAGCAGUGAGGAAUAUUGGUCAAUGGACGAGAGUCUGAACCAGCCAAGUAGCGUGAAGGAUGACUGCCCUAUGGGUUGUAAACUUCUUUUAUAUGGGAAUAAAACGUUCCACGUGUGGGAUUUUGUAUGUACCAUAUGAAUAAGGAUCGGCUAACUCCGUGCCAGCAGCCGCGGUAAUACGGAGGAUCCGAGCGUUAUCCGGAUUUAUUGGGUUUAAAGGGAGCGUAGGUGGAUUGUUAAGUCAGUUGUGAAAGUUUGCGGCUCAACCGUAAAAUUGCAGUUGAAACUGGCAGUCUUGAGUACAGUAGAGGUGGGCGGAAUUCGUAGUGUAGCGGUGAAAUGCUUAGAUAUCACGAAGAACUCCGAUUGCGAAGGCAGUUCACUGGACUGCAACUGACACUGAGGCUCGAAAGUGUGGGUAUCAAACAGGAUUAGAUACCCGAGUAGUC
This 460-nucleotide ribosomal RNA is filed under the name uncultured bacterium. Its description in RNAcentral is "partial 16S ribosomal RNA". It matches the Rfam family "Bacterial small subunit ribosomal RNA", at positions 338 to 795 of the family's 1533-position model. The record is from RNAcentral.